CCGGCCUUAGCUCAGUUGGUAGAGCGGAGGACUGUAGUGUUCACUCAGACAGCUUCAGGUCGCUGGUUCGAUUCCGGCAGAUCGGA
Molecule: transfer RNA, 86 nt
Filed under: Selaginella moellendorffii
Lineage: Eukaryota; Viridiplantae; Streptophyta; Lycopodiopsida; Selaginellales; Selaginellaceae
Rfam family: tRNA
About the family: Transfer RNA (tRNA) molecules are approximately 80 nucleotides in length. Their secondary structure includes four short double-helical elements and three loops (D, anti-codon, and T loops). Further hydrogen bonds mediate the characteristic L-shaped molecular structure. tRNAs have two regions of fundamental functional importance: the anti-codon, which is responsible for specific mRNA codon recognition, and the 3' end, to which the tRNAs corresponding amino acid is attached (by aminoacyl-tRNA synthetases). tRNAs cope with the degeneracy of the genetic code in two manners: having more than one tRNA (with a specific anti-codon) for a particular amino acid; and 'wobble' base-pairing, i.e. permitting non-standard base-pairing at the 3rd anti-codon position.
Source: Rfam by way of RNAcentral